This 342-nucleotide unclassified non-coding RNA is filed under the name soil metagenome. Its description in RNAcentral is "partial contains 5.8S ribosomal RNA, internal transcribed spacer 2, and large subunit ribosomal RNA". The stretch from base 1 to 121 matches the Rfam family "5.8S ribosomal RNA", at positions 35 to 154 of the family's 154-position model. The record is from RNAcentral.
GAUGAAGAACGCAGCGAAAUGCGAUAAGUAAUGCGAAUUGCAGAAUUUCCGUGAGUCAUCGAAUCUUUGAACGCACAUUGCGCCCACUGGUAUUCCGGUGGGCAUGCCUGUUCGAGCGUCAUUAUCCUCCCUCAAACCCCGGGUUUGGUGUUGGACCCAAGUUGUGUGAACAACUGGUCUCAAAGACAAUGACGGCGUCCGUGGGACCCUCGGUGCAACGAGCUUUUAGGAGCACGCAUCGAGUUGCAAGGACCUUCCGGGCCGGUCUCCUCUACCAUUUUACAAGGUUGACCUCGGAUCAGGUAGGAAUACCCGCUGAACUUAAGCAUAUCUAGCGGAGGA